RNAcentral lists this ribosomal RNA (962 nucleotides) under Xanthagaricus kotadduensis. Its description in RNAcentral is "Xanthagaricus sp. MH-2022a partial large subunit ribosomal RNA". The record is from RNAcentral. Lineage: Eukaryota; Fungi; Basidiomycota; Agaricomycetes; Agaricales; Agaricaceae.
AUUCUAGCAUAUCAAUAAGCGGAGGRRMARRAACUAACAAGGAUUCCCCUAGUAACUGCGAGUGAAGCGGGAAAAGCUCAAAUUUGAAAUCUGGCGGUCUCUGGCCGUCCGAGUUGUAAUCUAGAGAAGUAAUGCCCGUGCUGGACCGUGUACAAGUCUCCUGGGAUGGAGCGUCAUAGAGGGUGAGAAUCCCGUCUCUGACACGGACUACCAGUGCGUUGUGGUAUGCUCUCAACGAGUCGAGUUGUUUGGGAAUGCAGCUCAAAAUGGGUGGUAAAUUCCAUCUAAAGCUAAAUAUUGGCGAGAGACCGAUAGCGAACAAGUACCGUGAGGGAAAGAUGAAAAGAACUUUGGAAAGAGAGUUAAACAGUACGUGAAAUUGCUGAAAGGGAAACGCUUGAAGUCAGUCGCGUCGGCCAGGGAUCAGCCUUGCUCUUGCAUGGUGUAUUUUCUGGUUGACGGGUCAGCAUCAAUUUCGACCGCUGGAAAAGUUCCUGGGGAAUGUGGCAGCUCCGGCUGUGUUAUAGCCCCUGGUUGCAUACGGCGGUUGGGAUUGAGGAACUCAGCACGCCGCAAGGCCGGGUUUCGACCACGUUCGUGCUUAGGAUGCUGGCAUAAUGGCUUUAAGCGACCCGUCUUGAAACACGGACCAAGGAGUCUAACAUGCCUGCGAGUGUUUGGGUGGAAAACCCGAGCGCGCAAUGAAAGUGAAAGUUGAGAUCCCUGUCGUGGGGAGCAUCGACGCCCGGACCAGAACUUUUGGGACGGAUCCGCGGUAGAGCAUGUAUGUUGGGACCCGAAAGAUGGUGAACUAUGCCUGAAUAGGGUGAAGCCAGAGGAAACUCUGGUGGAGGCUCGUAGCGAUUCUGACGUGCAAAUCGAUCGUCAAAUUUGGGUAUAGGGGCGAAAGACUAAUCGAACCAUCUAGUWGCUGGUUCCUGCCGAAUUUUUCCCUCAAGAAA